CAGUCGCCGCGGUAAAACGUAGGGUGCGAGCGUUAAUCGGAAUUACUGGGCGUAAAGCGGGCGCAGACGGUUACUUAAGCAGGAUGUGAAAUCCCCGGGCUCAACCUGGGAACUGCGUUCUGAACUGGGUGACUAGAGUGUGUCAGAGGGAGGUAGAAUUCCACGUGUAGCAGUGAAAUGCGUAGAGAUGUGGAGGAAUACCGAUGGCGAAGGCAGCCUCCUGGGACAACACUGACGUUCAUGCCCGAAAGCGUGGGUAGCAAACAGGAUUAGAUACCCCGGUAGUCCCUGUCUCUUAUAA
RNAcentral lists this ribosomal RNA (301 nucleotides) under uncultured bacterium. RNAcentral describes it as "partial 16S ribosomal RNA". It matches the Rfam family "Bacterial small subunit ribosomal RNA", at positions 509 to 809 of the family's 1533-position model. The record is from RNAcentral.